RNAcentral lists this unclassified non-coding RNA (389 nucleotides) under Hevea brasiliensis (rubber tree). The record is from RNAcentral. Lineage: Eukaryota; Viridiplantae; Streptophyta; Magnoliopsida; Malpighiales; Euphorbiaceae.
AAAUGUCCCACUCAAAUCGCAAAGGUAUCAACAUAUCUUCAUUUUGAUACAAUGGUCGUAACAUUAUAUGAAGAAUAAGAUGUAUAGUUGGAAUGUUUAUGAUGUAUUGGAUAUUAUGUGGAUGGUUCUUUUUUAAUUCUUUGAGUUAACUUUUUUAUAUUUUUAUUACCAUUGUAGAGAUGCUAGUUUUUUCUUUUCUUUUUAAUCAUUGUAGCUUUUUAGCGAACGGAUUCUUAAUUAUCUAUUUGUACUUGUUUUCUUUUCGGUUGUGCUUCUGUGACAUUGUUUCUGUUUUUGUCAUGUCAUGUAAUUCAUGCAUAGUUUAUGGGUAAAUUCCUAUUGAUAGCUGUAAUUCAUGCAUAGUUUAUGGGUAAAUUCCUAUUGAUAGC